RNAcentral lists this ribosomal RNA (2864 nucleotides) under Verrucomicrobiota bacterium. Its description in RNAcentral is "23S ribosomal RNA". It matches the Rfam family "Bacterial large subunit ribosomal RNA". The record is from RNAcentral. Lineage: Bacteria; Pseudomonadati; Verrucomicrobiota.
UCAAGCUAGUAAGAGCUUACGGUGGAUGCCUUGGUGCCAAGAGGCGAUGAAGGACGCAGCAAGCUGCGAUAAGCCACGGGGAGCCGCAAGCAGGCGUUAAUCCGUGGAUCUCCGAAUGGGGAAACCCAGUCACUUUAACCAGUGAUUAUUGUCCGGAUGAAUUCAUAGUCCGGCGAAGCAAAACGGGGUGAAGUGAAACAUCUCAGUAACCCUAGGAAAAUAAAACGAAGCGAUUCCGUCAGUAGUGGCGAGCGAAAGCGGAUCAGUCCAAACCGAAGGGACUUGUCCUUUCGGGGUAGCGGGACCUCAAUGUGGGAAGAUGAAUGGUUAGCGUAACAACUUGGAAAAGUUGGCCACAGACCGUGACAGCCGGGUGCGCAAAAGCCUGAAGUCCCCUAGGGGUAUCCCAAGUAACGCGGUGCACGUGAAACUCUGCGUGAAUCAGUCCGGACCACCGGAUAAGACUAAAUACUCCUUGGCAACCGAUAGUGAACUAGUACCGCGAGGGAAAGGUGAAAAUAACCCCUGUUAGGGGAGUGAAAUAGAUACUGAAACCGUCUGCUUACAAUGUGUCGGAGCGCCGCAAGGCGUGACGGCUUGCCUUUUGCAUAAUGAGUCUGCGAGUUAUUGUCCGUGGCCAGCCUAAGUCCUUUUGGGAUGGAGGCGAAGCGAAAGCGAGUACUAAAUGUGCGACCAGUCACUGGCAAUAGACCCGAAGCGGAGGUGAUCUACUCUUGAGCAGGUUGAAGCUGAGGUAACACUCAGUGAAGGACCGAACUCGUGGAUGUUGAAAAAUCCUGAGAUGACUUGAGAGUAGGAGCGAAAGACUAAUCAAACCCCGUGAUAGCUGGUUCUCUCCGAAAUCGCUUGAGGGCGAGCGUUGGGUAAGUACUCCGAGGAGGUAGAGCACUGGAUGGCUUAGAGUCCCCACCAGGAUAUCAAAACCAAUCAAACUCCGAAUACCUCGGAUCCCUCUAACCCAGCAUUCAGACUGUGGGGGAUAAGCUUCAUAGUCGAGAGGGCAACAGCCCAGACCGCCAGCUAAGGUGCCUAAAUACCAUUAAGUGGAAAGGAUGUGACGUUACUUAGACAGUGAGGAUGUUGGCUUAGAGGCAGCCAUCAUUUAAACAGUGCGUAAUAGCUGACUCAUCGAGUGAUGUCGCGCCGAAAAUGAUUGGCGAUAAAUGGUAUACCGAAGCUGCGGAUUCAACGGCGAUACGUCGUCGUUGAGUGGUAGGAGAGCGUAAUCAUUGCAGCGAAGCCGGACUGUAAGGGAAGGUGGAGCGGUGAUUAGUGAGAAUGCAGACACGAGUAGCGAUAAACCGGGUGAGAAUCCCGGUCGCCGUAAACCUAAGGUUUCCUGGGGUAGGUUCGUCCUCCCAGGGUUAGUCGGGAGCUAAGACGAGGCCGUAAGGCGUAGUCGAUGCACAGCAGAUUAAUAUUCCUGCACCGGCAUGGCUUAAGGUGGGGAUUGACGCAGAGAGAAAAGUGGCGGUGUCAUUGAAAGACAAAGCCUAGGCUUCGGCCAAAGCGAGUCACCAGACAAUCUGUCUAGAAAACGUCUCCAUUGUUCCCCAUGUCGCCCGUACCGUAAACCGACACAGGUGGGUGAGUCGAAUAGACUAAGGCGCGCGAGAGAGACCUCUCUAAGGAACUCGGCAAAUUAGCCCCGUAACUUCGGGAGAAGGGGUGCUCUUCGCAAGAAGAGCCACAGUAAAUUGCGUUUACCGACUGUUUAACAAAAACACAGCUCUCUGCUAAGUCGUUAAGACGACGUAUAGGGUGUGACACGUGACCAAUGCGGAAAGAUCAAGGCGACUUGUUAGCCGCAAGGCGAAGCUCCGAACCUAAGUCCCCGUGAAUGUCGGCCGUAACUAUAACGGUCCUAAGGUAGCGAAAUUCCUUGUCGGGUAAGUUCCGACCUGCACGAAUCGUGUAACGAGUGAACGACUGUCUCGGAGAGGAUCUCGGCGAAACUGUAUCUGCGGUGAAGAUGCCGCAUGCCCGCAGUAGGACGGAAAGACCCUAUGCACCUUUACUGUAAGCUCGUAUUGGGUUCUGAUUGAUAAUGCUUAGCGUAGGUGGGAGACUUUGAAGCGGGGGUUUAGGUUCCCGUGGAGUCGCAAUGUGAAACACCACUCUUUGUCAAUUAGGAUUCUAACCUCGAUUCCUGUUAGCCAGGCGGGGGACAGUGCGUGCGGGUCAGUUUGACUGGGGCGGUUUCCUCCCAAAGAGUAACGGAGGAGCGCGAAGGUACUCUCAGCACGGUUUGUAACCGUGCGUCGAGCGUAUGGGUAUAAGAGUGCUUAACUGUAAGACCUACAAGUCGAGCAGAUGCGAAAGCAGGCCCAAAUGAUCCGAUGGUUGAAUGUGGAAUUGCCAUCGCUCAACGGACAAAAGGUACGCUAGGGAUAACAGGCUGAUCGGGACCAAGAGUUCACAUCGACGUCCCGGUUUGGCACCUCGAUGUCGGCUCAUCGCAUCCUGGGGCUGGAGAAGGUCCCAAGGGUCCGGCUGUUCGCCGGUUAAAGCGGUACGCGAGCUGGGUUCAGAACGUCGUGAGACAGUUCGGUCCUUAUCCACUGUGGGCGCAGGAAACUUGAGGGGUUCAUUCCUUAGUACGAGAGGACCGGGAAUGACGCACUUCUGGUGUGGCAGUUGUUCCGUCAGGGGCAUCGCUGCGUAGCCAUGUGCGGAAGAGAUAAGCGCUGAAAGCAUCUAAGUGCCAAGCUCAUCCCAAGAUAUUGUUUCCCGGACCGUUAGGUCCCUGAAGACCCCAAGUAGACCACUUGGUUGAUAGGUUAGGCGUGCAAGCACCGCGAGGUGUUGAGCGGACUAAUACUAAUAGGUCGUGCGGCUUGAUC